UACGUAGGGUGCGAGCGUUGUCCGGAAUUAUUGGGCGUAAAGGGCUCGUAGGCGGUCUGUUGCGUCGGGAGUGAAAACUCAGGGCUUAACCCUGAGCCUGCUUCCGAUACGGGCAGACUAGAGGUAUGCAGGGGAGAACGGAAUUCCUGGUGUAGCGGUGAAAUGCGCAGAUAUCAGGAGGAACACCAGUGGCGAAGGCGACACGCUGGGCCGUACCUGACGCUAAAGCGCGACAGCAUGGGGAGCAAACGGG
Molecule: ribosomal RNA, 253 nt
Filed under: uncultured bacterium
Lineage: Bacteria
Description: partial 16S ribosomal RNA
Rfam family: Bacterial small subunit ribosomal RNA
Source: RNAcentral